UUUCAGUGUCUGACACUUGGAGAAGCUAAACAUGUCUCAGUCAGGUGAAAAAGUAAAGUUUUCCGACUCAGCAGGCUAUGUGGGAUUUGCUAAUCUGCCCAACCAGGUCCACCGGAAAUCUGUGAAGAAGGGCUUUGAAUUCACACUGAUGGUGGUUGGUGAGUCUGGCUUGGGAAAAUCUACUCUAAUUAACAGUCUGUUUCUGACUGAUCUUUAUCCAGAACGUUACAUUCCUGGAGCUGCAGAGAAAAUAGAGAGAACGGUUCAAAUUGAGGCUUCCACAGUAGAGAUAGAGGAGCGGGGGGUGAAGCUGCGUUUAACGGUGGUGGACACACCGGGAUAUGGAGAUGCCAUUAACAGCCAGGACUGCUUCAAAACGAUUAUCCAGUACAUUGACAACCAGUUUGAGAGAUACCUUCAUGAUGAGAGCGGGCUGAACAGGCGCCACAUUAUAGACAAUAGAGUCCAUUGCUGCUUUUACUUCAUCUCUCCCUUUGGGCAUGGGUUGAAACCAUUAGAUGUAGAAUUCAUGAAGGCUCUUCAUGGAAAAGUCAACAUUGUCCCUGUGAUUGCCAAGGCUGACACGCUGACACUGAAGGAGAGAGAGAGGCUGAAGAGAAGAGUUCUAGAUGAGAUUUCUGAACAUGGCAUUAGGAUUUACCAGCUUCCUGAUGCAGAUUCUGAUGAAGAUGAGGAAUUUAAAGAACAAACUAGAGUCUUAAAGGCUAGCAUUCCCUUUGCUGUUAUUGGAUCCAAUCAACUUAUUGAGGUGAAAGGGAAGAAAAUCCGAGGCCGUCUGUACCCUUGGGGGGUUGUUGAAGUCGAGAACCCGGAGCACAAUGAUUUCCUUAAACUGCGCACAAUGCUGGUAACUCACAUGCAGGACCUGCAGGAGGUGACCCAAGAUUUGCACUAUGAGAACUUCCGUUCAGAGAGGCUGAAGAGAACUGGCAAGCCUGUUGAAGAAGAAGUUGUAGACAAGGAUAGAAUCCUUCAGCAGAAGGAGGCUGAGCUGCGCCGCAUGCAGGAGAUGAUCGCACAGAUGCAAGCCCAGAUGAGGAUGAAGCCUGGAGAUGACUAAGAUACUUAAUAGCUGGAUGCAUCAGCUUACAGAUCAUGCUUAAUCACAUGGUAUCCCUUGAACUGAUACUUGCAGCGUUCAGUUCUCUAAGUGGACGGGUGCUCUGUUUUCUUUGGCCGAGUGGUAACGUCCACAUGCAAAAGCCGGAUUCUGCAGAUCAAGACCUGCAUUAAAACAAACACAGAGUCUGAAGAUUGUGUUGUAAAACUGCUUGUUUUAUAUAUUCAAAGUUAAUCAAGUUAUCCUGUAUCUUUUUUGAUUUUUUUUUUGUUAACACUGUCUUCAUACUUAUAAUUGUGUUUAUAUUCUCCUUCCUAUGCCUUUUGGUACAGAAAUGGAUAAGCAUGCUGUUUGGACUAGGCCUUGCGCUGGGGCAAGGAGUUAAUUGUGUAUCUAGAUUGUUCUGAACCGUUUUGUGAUUAGUGCUAAAAGCCUCUGUGGCCGGUUGGCAGUAAAUGUGCUCGCACAGUAUCGUAACUUUCUAUUGCUAUUUUAAGCCAUUCUGUAUCGUGUCAGUUUUUCAUAACUUUCUGUGCUUCGGUUCUUUUUCAAGCUUCAUCUCUGGUGAUUUGUAUUUGUGUGAUGUGUGAGAAAAUACACAAACCACUGACGAUUCACCGGUGAUGUAAAGAAGCUGACUUUUCUAAAUCAUUGUGCCUUAAAAUACCAUGAACACUAUGCAUGCCAGAAACUUCCGUGGAUGCCUCUGAGAGUUGUCUUCAGGUCUCAGUAUUGCUUGCAGGUGUUCCUAUCGCAGCGUUCCCAGCUCCCAGCUGAGUGGAGGCAUGUACUGAACCUUUUAUAUACCGCAACACUAAUUUUCAUGGAGGUUUUGUAAUAAAUUGUAUCAGUGUGGAAAAAGAUGAA
Molecule: non-coding RNA, 1948 nt
Organism: Meleagris gallopavo (turkey)
Lineage: Eukaryota; Metazoa; Chordata; Aves; Galliformes; Phasianidae
Source: RefSeq, a predicted model, not a curated record